This is a non-coding RNA of Vicia faba (fava bean), 258 nucleotides long. The record is from the annotation of a GenBank genome assembly. NCBI's taxonomy places the organism in Eukaryota, Viridiplantae, Streptophyta, Magnoliopsida, Fabales, Fabaceae.
AUGAUCAAGCAAACACAGAAGCUAGUGAGUCAUCAAGCAAAAACCAAAAACCCUAGACAAAAAUCUCAUCAUCAUUUUCCCUAUACACUAAACCUUCAGAGAGUCAAAAGAGAAAGAAGUUUCCUAAUCGAAAAAGGUGAAAAACAGAACCAGAAAGAUCUCACCAGGAAGGUUGCGAUUGCAGAUCGCCUUCCACCGCUAUUUGAAGUUGACCGGUUUUUCCGAGAGGCACCCUCACUGCUUCCAAAAUCUUCAUAA